Molecule: ribosomal RNA, 506 nt
Filed under: uncultured bacterium
Lineage: Bacteria
Description: partial 16S ribosomal RNA
Rfam family: Bacterial small subunit ribosomal RNA
Source: RNAcentral
AUUGAACGCUGGCGGCGUGCCUAACACAUGCAAGUCGAGCGAUGAAGGGGAGCUUGCUCCCUGGAAUAGCGGCGCACGGGUGAGUAACGCGUGGAUAAUCUACCCAGGAGUUCGGGAUACCAGCUGGAAACGGCUGACAAUACCGGGUAACAUGCAAUUUAACUAUUGUGUCAAAGGCGGGGCAACCUGUCGCUUUUGGAUGAGUCCGGGUCUCAUUAGCUAGUUGGUAAGGUAAUGGCUUACCAAGGCAGUGAUGAGUAGCCGGCCUGAGAGGGUAAUCGGCCACACUGGGACUGGAACACGGCCCAGACUCCUACGGGAGGCAGCAGUGGGGAAUAUUGGACAAUGGGGGGAACCCUGAUCCAGCCAUGCCGCGUGUGUGAAGAAGGCCUUAUGGUUGUAAAGCACUUUAAGCGAGGAGGAGGCUCUUUUGGUUAAUACCCAAGAUGAGUGGACGUUACUCGCAGAAUAAGCACCGGCUAACUCUGUGCCAGCCGCCGCUGUAA